Molecule: ribosomal RNA, 447 nt
Filed under: uncultured bacterium
Lineage: Bacteria
Description: SSU rRNA
Rfam family: Bacterial small subunit ribosomal RNA
Source: RNAcentral
AGAGCGAACGCUGGCGGCAGGCUUAACACAUGCAAGUCGAGCGGGCGUAGCAAUACGUCAGCGGCAGACGGGUGAGUAACGCGUGGGAACGUACCUUUUGGUUCGGAACAACACAGGGAAACUUGUGCUAAUACCGGAUAAGCCCUUACGGGGAAAGAUUUAUCGCCGAAAGAUCGGCCCGCGUCUGAUUAGCUAGUUGGUGAGGUAACGGCUCACCAAGGCGACGAUCAGUAGCUGGUCUGAGAGGAUGAUCAGCCACAUUGGGACUGAGACACGGCCCAAACUCCUACGGGAGGCAGCAGUGGGGAAUAUUGGACAAUGGGCGCAAGCCUGAUCCAGCCAUGCCGCGUGAGUGAUGAAGGCCCUAGGGUUGUAAAGCUCUUUUAACGGGGAAGAUAAUGACGGUACCGUAGAAUAAGCCCCGGCUAACUUCGUGCCAGCAGCCGC